GAUCUGAAAUAAACAACAAAGGGGCGUAAUUCUUACAGCAAUAACAAAAAAAACAAGGACAAUUAAUAUCCUCCGAGUUAUUGUGUAAAACGCCAUGGGGCUGUUCAAAUACGAAGUUGCUUGCGAAAAAAUAAGGCGGAAUUUACUUGAUUGCCUGCUUCAGUCAGAAUGUUACAAAGUCGAAAACAAAACCCCUAGAGAAUGUAUGGAGAGAGGUCAGGAUAUGCCAGAUGAAUGUAAGCAGCACCGGAAAGCACUUUAUAAGUGCAAAAGAUCUCAGAUAGACACUAGAACUCGAUUCAGGGGAAAGCAUGACCUGUAAAGUCUUGUUUUAAAACUGUGUAAGGUACUGUUUGUUUGUGGUUUAAACUCAUUUCUGAAGGUGUGCAUUUACUUUGUUGUGAAGACUUGAAUGAUGAAUUCAUAGGUAUUUGCAUGUGUUAUGAAUAAUAAUAACAAAAACACAUCAUGCAACUUGUCACAUGUAGAUCCAAUGGUUAUUAUGGUGUGUGCUGUUUUGCUAUAUCUGAGUCAUUAUACAUGUAAAUAGCUGACAUAAACAAAUACAUGUAUGAUGAAAGUAUUAACGAUAUGAAAUGUAAUUUACAGUCUAAUGUAUGAAUUUAACAUACUGACUGUUAUAAAAGCGCACAAAAAGA
This is a long non-coding RNA of Dreissena polymorpha, 659 nucleotides long. RefSeq lists it as uncharacterized. The transcript is spliced from 3 exons. Lineage: Eukaryota; Metazoa; Mollusca; Bivalvia; Myida; Dreissenidae. The record is from RefSeq and is a predicted model, not a curated record.